AUUGAACGCUGGCGGCAGGCUUAACACAUGCAAGUCGAGCGGUAACAGAGAGAAGCUUGCUUCUCUGCUGACGAGCGGCGGACGGGUGAGUAAUGCCUAGGAAUCUGCCUAGUAGUGGGGGAUAACUUGCCGAAAGGUAAGCUAAUACCGCAUACGUCCUACGGGAGAAAGGAGGGGACCUUCGGGCCUUUCGCUAUUAGAUGAGCCUAGGUCGGAUUAGUUAGUUGGUGAGGUAAUGGCUCACCAAGACCGCGAUCCGUAACUGGUCUGAGAGGAUGAUCAGUCACACUGGAACUGAGACACGGUCCAGACUCCUACGGGAGGCAGCAGUGGGGAAUAUUGGACAAUGGGGGGAACCCUGAUCCAGCCAUGCCGCGUGCGUGAAGAAGGUCUUAGGAUUGUAAAGCACUUUAAGUUGGGAGGAAGAGCAGUUAACUAAUAUUUGACUGUUUUGACGUUACCGACAGAAUAAGCACCGGCUAACUUCGUG
Molecule: ribosomal RNA, 490 nt
Filed under: uncultured bacterium
Lineage: Bacteria
Description: partial 16S ribosomal RNA
Rfam family: Bacterial small subunit ribosomal RNA
Source: RNAcentral